UUGAUUCACUGAACAAAAACAAGAGACACAAGAUAACAACAAGAAUUACCAUUCUCGUAAAGAAGACCAGAGAUUGAAGAGCAACCAGGUCCUCCACUUAACCAGAGAAGAAUAGGGUCUUCUUCAGGAUUCCCCUCAGAUUUGAUGAAGUAGUAGAACAACUGCACUUGUUCUUCCUCACCAACACCAAUAUACCUUUCAAGAAAAAAAAACAUACUCCAAACUCAGAACAAAUCCGGUUUAUUCUGGUAGAGCUUUUUUCAGAAAACGAACCCGGUUUCAAGCUCAAAAGGAAGAGGACCUUCAAAACCAGGAAGAUACUUGAUAAUAGAUGCAGAAUCGACAGCAUUGCGAUACGAGAUAACAAGAAAGAAAAGAAGGAGCUUAUGGAUAGAGAAAACGUAGUCGUUAGCCAUCGGUGUUUUGAUAGACCACAGUGUCUUUUAGGACCAAUUAUAGAACCUUUUAUAUUAGAAAAGUGCACACACACACACACAAAAGGCGUACCGUAAUUUACUUUGUCUCUUCCUCACAGUCCUCUUUGUCUCCAUCUUUGGAUUUUGUCUUUUCUUUUUUACAAUUUAUCCGUCAUGUUUUUUCUUAUUAAUAAAAAUAAACAGAUUAGAAAGCGUAUUAAUCACGGCAUACAUCCUAAGAGCUUAUUGUUUAGAAAAAAAAAUGCUAAAACUAGUUGUAUUAGGGUAUCCCAGUUGGAGUCUUUUACAAAAAUAUAACAUUUAUUUAAUUAAAUCUUUCAAAAAAAAUUGAAAAAAUUAGCAUGAGUUUUUCAAUAUUUUGAUAGACUCCAUUAUAAAUUUAUAAUAUUUAAUAUAUGUAAGAAACUUUUCUUGAAAAAUCCUUGAUGGGAUGGCCGUAGAAAGAUAUUGCUGUGGGGCCUUCUUGACUCAGCGAUGCGUGAGUAAUAGCGCGCCAAUCAUUCAGUUCUAACUUCUAUCCAAUCAUUUAGCUGGCCGGAGGCCCGAAGCCUAGUAAGAGAAGGAGAUGUUGGGUCGAUUUAGAAAAAAAAACAUAAAAUAAGAAAAGAUUCGUUGGCAGUGAAGAUAAGAAGUCGAGAGUGAUCUUGAAAAACAUGCAGUGUCGGGCAUGACAUAUUAAUCAAGUGGCCCACCAUACCCAGUUACCAUUCGCCUCUUUCACCAACAAUGAAGAACACAAAAGGCUGGAUGCACGGCCCCUAGUAGAAUUAUUUUGGAUUGAUAUAUAUGUAGUUUUCUGAGUGUUUUAGUUUACUCGCAAGUCCCUCGGCAUUUUCUCCCUUUUAAAUAUGUACAACACUUUGAGAUAUACCUUAGUCCAUGAAUAUGUAGUAGAGACCAAGGAAGGAACAGUUCCAUUGUAAACCUCCAACUUCAUAGUCAUAGGCCCUCUUUAUUUAUGAGUGAUUUAUACUAACAGUCAGUUUUUGACUUUUUAUUACACAAAAGAGCAGUUUGUGCUAUUUGGGUAGUUUUAUUACACAAAAAAGCAGUUUAUUUUCUUUUUGCUAAAUUUUGAUUCAAUGAACAAAAACAAGAGACACAAGAUAACAACAAGAAUUUACAAUUCUCGUAAAGAAGACCAGAGAUUGAAGAGCAACCAGGUCCUCCACUUAACCAGAGAAGAAUAGGGUCUUCUUCAGGAUUCCCCUCAGAUUUGAUGAAGUAGUAGAACAACUGCACUUGUUCUUCCUCACCAACACCAAUAUACCUGUCAAGAAAAAAAAACAUACAAACUUAACUCCCGCGCCGGCUCUGGACGUGUGUGGACGGUGCUUUGGCACAGGGUUCCACCAUUUUUUUGUAAUUUUUUUUGUAUAUUUAGGGUCAUGCAAUUUUAAUUUUAUACAAGAAAAUGUCUUUUUUGUUUUUUUGAACACACAAAAAAAGUCCUAAAAUUUUGAUUUGUAUAAGAAAGGACCCUGAAAAUUUGUUUGUGCACAGGGCCUAAAUAUGUUGUGAGCUGGGUUUUUAACUCCAAACUCAGAAGAAAUCCGGUUUAUUCUGGUAGAGUUUUUUUUUUUUCAGAAAACGAAUCCGGUUUCAAGCUCAAAAGGAAGAGGACCAUCAAAACUAGGCCUGGACAUUCGGAUAACCGGUUCGGAUUCGGGUCGGAUUUUUUGGAUUUUGGAUAUUUCAGAACUAGAGAAAUUGGUACCGAUCGGAUAAUUUAAAAUUACGGUUCGGAUACGGUUUGGUACCUGUCGGAUCCGGUUCGGAUCCGGUUACAUCCGUAGUAACCAAAAUAUUAACGGAUUCAGUCCGGUUCUUUGAAUAUACCAAACUAUUUAACCCGAUAGAACCGAAUUUAAUCCAAAAAAACCGAAGAUAUUCUAAAUAUCCGAAAAAACAUAAACAAG
RNAcentral lists this long non-coding RNA (2356 nucleotides) under Brassica rapa (field mustard). Its description in RNAcentral is "long non-coding RNA (BRAP_LNC003910)". Lineage: Eukaryota; Viridiplantae; Streptophyta; Magnoliopsida; Brassicales; Brassicaceae. The record is from RNAcentral.